Molecule: ribosomal RNA, 492 nt
Filed under: uncultured bacterium
Lineage: Bacteria
Description: partial 16S ribosomal RNA
Rfam family: Bacterial small subunit ribosomal RNA
Source: RNAcentral
AGUGAACGCUGGCGGUAGGCCUAACACAUGCAAGUCGAACGGCAGCACAGUAAGAGCUUGCUCUUACGGGUGGCGAGUGGCGGACGGGUGAGGAAUACAUCGGAAUCUACUUUUUCGUGGGGGAUAACGUAGGGAAACUUACGCUAAUACCGCAUACGACCUACGGGUGAAAGCAGGGAAUCUUCGGACCUUGCGCGAUUGAAUGAGCCGAUGUCGGAUUAGCUAGUUGGCGGGGUAAAGGCCCACCAAGGCGACGAUCCGUAGCUGGUCUGAGAGGAUGAUCAGCGACACUGGAACUGAGACACGGUCCAGACUACUACGGGAGGCAGCAGUGGGGAAUAGUGGACAAUGGGCGCAAGCCUGAUCCAGCGAUACCGCGUGGGUGAAGAAGGCCUUGGGGUUGUAAAGCCCUUUUGUUGGGAAAGAAAAGCAGCAGGUUAAUACCCCGCUGUUCUGACGGUACCCAAAGAAUAAGCACCGGCUAACUUCGUG